This 488-nucleotide ribosomal RNA is filed under the name uncultured bacterium. RNAcentral's name for it is "partial 16S ribosomal RNA". It matches the Rfam family "Bacterial small subunit ribosomal RNA", at positions 28 to 507 of the family's 1533-position model. The record is from RNAcentral.
GAUGAACGCUAGCGGCAGGCCUAAUACAUGCAAGUCGGACGGGAUCCAUCGGUAGCUUGCUAUCCAUGGUGAGAGUGGCGCACGGGUGCGUAACGCGUGAGCAACCUGCCUCCAUCAGGGGGAUAGCCUCUCGAAAGAGAGAUUAACACCGCAUAACAUAUCAGACCGGCAUCGGUCGGAUAUCAAAUAUUUAUAGGAUGGAGAUGGGCUCGCGUGACAUUAGCUUGUUGGUGGGGUAACGGCCCACCAAGGCGACGAUGUCUAGGGGCUCUGAGAGGAGAAUCCCCCACACUGGUACUGAGACACGGACCAGACUCCUACGGGAGGCAGCAGUAAGGAAUAUUGGUCAAUGGGCGGAAGCCUGAACCAGCCAUGCCGCGUGCAGCAUGACUGCCCUAUGGGUUGUAAACUGCUUUUGUCCGGGAAUAAACCUCCUUACGUGUAGGGAGCUGAAUGUACCGGAAGAAUAAGGAUCGGCUAACUCCGUG